Molecule: long non-coding RNA, 533 nt
Organism: Cyprinodon tularosa
Lineage: Eukaryota; Metazoa; Chordata; Actinopteri; Cyprinodontiformes; Cyprinodontidae
Exons: 3
Source: RefSeq, a predicted model, not a curated record
CUCAUCAUCAAGCUGUGUCUGCUGUACAGUCUGUGCAGUUGUUUUUAACCAUCUGUGGUGCUAGAUACCAAAAAAGACUCCAGGAGAGAACAGAUCCUCAGACAAACUUCUGUAAGUGUUAUGGAUGGGAACGCUGUUAAAUACAUGCUAAUCUUUGGUCUAUGCUCUCUGCCCCAGUAUUUUUCUGAUGUAUAUCAUGUUGUAAAUGAAAGAAAGACCUGGGCUGAAGCCCAGGCGUACUGCAGGGAAAAGUACAUAGACCUGGUUACCAUCAAUAGCACUGAAGACAUGGCUGUGAUAGAAAACAUCAUCAAUGCUGAAAAUCAGGAUGAGUUCUGGAUAGGUUUGUAUGGCGAUGUAAACAACUGGAAGUGGUCUCUGGAACAGGAGGGAUUUUAUGAAGAAGGGCAGAAAGACCUCAGACUCUGGACCGAAGGGGAACCAAACGCUCCUAACAAUCACUUUGUCUGUGGUGACAUACAGAAGACAUGGGCGGACUAUUAUUGCCAUGGUCUACGCCAGGCAGUCUGCUA